GGCCGCGCGUGCCCCGCUCCUGGGCCGCGCUGGGCUGCGCCGCCCUCCGGGGCCGGGGCGCUGGCAGGCCGAGUGUCCCCAGGGGCCCUGGUGGCCGGGGGCGGGAUAGGGGCAGGUGACAAUUCAAUUAGGGCGACGGGGGGCGGGGAGGGGGUUGGGGGGGAAGGAGGGCAGAUGGCAUAAAUGCCAAGAGGCCGGUUCCUUCCUCCUCCCGGCGGCUUGGGUGCGCUCCCACGUCCGGCGCGCCUGGGGCGGUGGGGGCCGUGCUCCCUCCCGGUUGCUUCCUCCUGCCUCCUUUCAAACACGGGCCCUUCACUUAAAAAAUGUCCGAUAGGCUAGGGCACCAGGAAGGGUAAGUGUGUGCCUUGCGAGGAUUCUUGCUCUUAAAGAGGGGCCGGGGGAGCGCGGAGGGGCGCUUCCCGGCGGCCCUGGCUCCCCGCGCCCGCAUCUUCCCUCCCCGCCGCUAACCCCGUCCCUCGGCCCCUCUUGCUCCGUCCUCGCCUCCGCAGCACCUCGAUUUCUCGUAGGCGGGGGGCGGGGGGCGGGGGGGAUUCUUUCUGUCGGUGUUAUUCCGAAUUAACGAAAAGUUUAGUUUUCGUUUUUAAACGAAAGUAAAGCGUGGCCUCUCUGUCUCCCCAGCUCCUCUUGAACGCAGGAUGCGCGUCCGUCUGUCCGUCCUUCCGGGCCUGAGACGAGGUCGCCACGGACCCCCAGGACUAGUUGUAACUUUCGCCUUCCUCUCCCGCACUGACGUCACGGCCCCAGGAACAGUCCGACCUGCAGAGGAGGGCCAGGUCCCAGGGGAGGACAGGACAUCGGCUCAGACGGACUCGGACCUUACCCUCGGACCUUACCCUCGUGGAGUUGCACCUCAGGCAAAAUCGGAGCUGUCUCAGGUCCAGUCGGCUUUGUUCCGGCUCCGGUGCACCAAGGCGCAGUGGCCGUGGGCCGCGGGACGGCGCGGCCAGGCCGGGCCCCGGACCGCGGAGGAUUGCGCCCCCGCCUCUGCCGUCGGCUUCCUCAGCGAGCGGCGUGAGACGGCAGCGACCACCUGCACACACGCACCGCUCCUCGUUCAGGCGUGUGCUGACUGGGUACCAGUCAUUCUGCUGGGCCUGAGGAUGAGGAGGGACUUUGGGGGGGGCCGCAGUCUGCGGGGGGAGGCGGGGGAACACGUGAGCUGGGAGGCAUGA
RNAcentral lists this long non-coding RNA (1193 nucleotides) under Vulpes vulpes (red fox). RNAcentral describes it as "lncRNA (ENSVVUG00000006137.1)". Lineage: Eukaryota; Metazoa; Chordata; Mammalia; Carnivora; Canidae. The record is from RNAcentral.